Molecule: non-coding RNA, 91 nt
Organism: Mycena vitilis
Lineage: Eukaryota; Fungi; Basidiomycota; Agaricomycetes; Agaricales; Mycenaceae
Source: the annotation of a GenBank genome assembly
AGCAGCAUGGCGCAGUCUGGAAGCGCGCGGGGCCCAUAUUGUCAUGCAAUACGCCACCCCGAGGUCACUCGAUCGAAACGAGUUGCUGCUA